GAUGAACGCUGGCGGCGUGCCUAAUACAUGCAAGUCGAACGAACGGACGCUGAGCUUGCUUCUCUGUUGUUAGCGGCAGACGGGUGAGUAACGCGUGUAUCACCUACCUAUCAUACUGGUAUCACUUCGGAAAACCGGCGCUAAUCCCGUAUGAUAUUUUGAUCCGCAUGGUUCAAAGGUAAAAGACGGUCUUGCUGUCACUUAUAGCUGGAUCCGCGCUGCAUUAGCUAGUUGGUGAGGUAACGGCUUACCAAGGCGACGAUGCAUAGCCGACGUGAGAGGGGGAUCGGCCACACGGGAGCUGAGACAGGGUCCAGAGUCCUACGGGAGGGAGCAGUAGGGAAUCUGCCGCAGUGGGCGAAAGCCUGACGGAGUAACGCCGAGUGAGAGAUGAAAGUCUCCGGAGCGUAAAACUCUGUUAUUAGGGAAGAACAUAUGUGUAAGUAAAUGUGCAGAGCGUGACGGUACCUAAUCAGAAAGCCACGGCUAACUACGUG
Molecule: ribosomal RNA, 497 nt
Filed under: uncultured bacterium
Lineage: Bacteria
Description: partial 16S ribosomal RNA
Rfam family: Bacterial small subunit ribosomal RNA
Source: RNAcentral